Molecule: long non-coding RNA, 950 nt
Filed under: Salmo salar (Atlantic salmon)
Lineage: Eukaryota; Metazoa; Chordata; Actinopteri; Salmoniformes; Salmonidae
Description: lncRNA (ENSSSAG00000112572.1)
Source: RNAcentral
AGAGUGAUUACAGGAGAUGGGAAAGUUUGAGAGAUUGAGAACAGGAAAUGGGCAAGUGUGAGAGAGUGGGUGAGAGCAGGAGAUGGGGAAAGUGUGAGAGAGAACAGGAGAUGGAAAAGUGUGAGAGAGAACAGGAGAUGUGAAAUUGUGAGAGAGUAUCAGAGAUGGGAAAGUGUGAGAGAGAACAGGAGAUGGGAAAGUGUGAGAGCGAACAGGAGAUGGGAAAUUGUGAGAGAGUAUCAGAGAUGGGAAAGUGUGAGAGAGAACAGGAGAUGUGAGAGGGUGAGAACAGGAGAUGGGGAAAGUGAGAGCGAGAGAGAGAGGGAGAGGAAGAGGAUUGUUUGAUGAGCCUAAUGAAGAUUAAUCACCCAGAGAGGCAGCUGUUGCCCCCCACCUCCUAGCAGAGAUACAGGAAACUCAUCUAAUCUAUCAAAGUGCUCAUAUUACGGCUGAGGUUUGUCGACAGGCGGUACGCAGACACUCCAAACAGAUUGAGACACGGGUGCAUCUACAUCAUGGGAGCCAAAGGGUGUCACUGGCAGAGCCCAGAAGACCACAGUAAGAUCUACGAGGGAUCUACUACUGUUCCUCUGCAGGCUCUCCAGUGUGGGAAGCAUCCUGGGCUCCUUGUGGGUGUUUGAUUCCUGGUCCACACCCAGAGAACCCCUGUGUAUCUGUGAGUCCACAGUCACCACAAUGAAGAAGGACCAUUAGGAUGGAGCCAUCUGCCUCCACUUCUCCCCUGCUGGGAUAGACAAGACUAUUCUUAUUUUCUGAGGGCUGUAUUGAAAUGUCCUCCAGGACUGUAAUACAAUUAUUAAAUCAUUUCUGCAAACAAAAAUUGUACACAAAGUGAAAACAAUCUAGUGGUAUCCCUCUGUGCAUCAGUCAGGCAGCAUACUGUGCUCUUUAUUUGAGUAGUUACUCUUGUUGGGGCAGACUUGGUUUGC